RNAcentral lists this ribosomal RNA (460 nucleotides) under uncultured bacterium. RNAcentral's name for it is "partial 16S ribosomal RNA". It matches the Rfam family "Bacterial small subunit ribosomal RNA", at positions 338 to 795 of the family's 1533-position model. The record is from RNAcentral.
CCUACGGGGAGCUGCAGUGAGGAAUAUUGGUCAAUGGACGAGAGUCUGAACCAGCCAAGUAGCGUGAAGGAUGACUGCCCUAUGGGUUGUAAACUUCUUUUAUAUGGGAAUAAAAUGUUCCACGUGUGGGAUUUUGUAUGUACCAUAUGAAUAAGGAUCGGCUAACUCCGUGCCAGCAGCCGCGGUAAUACGGAGGAUCCGAGCGUUAUCCGGAUUUAUUGGGUUUAAAGGGAGCGUAGGUGGAUUGUUAAGUCAGUUGUGAAAGUUUGCGGCUCAACCGUAAAAUUGCAGUUGAAACUGGCAGUCUUGAGUACAGUAGAGGUAGGCGGAAUUCGUGGUGUAGCGGUGAAAUGCUUAGAUAUCACGAAGAACUCCGAUUGCGAAGGCAGUUCACUAGACUGCAACUGACACUGAGGCUCGAAAGUGUGGGUAUCAAACAGGAUUAGAUACCCUUGUAGUC